Sinocyclocheilus anshuiensis is the source of this 2437-nucleotide long non-coding RNA. Lineage: Eukaryota; Metazoa; Chordata; Actinopteri; Cypriniformes; Cyprinidae. The record is from Ensembl.
GCUGCUUCUUCAUUCGCUGGGCACUCAUGCUGUUCGCAGUCUGGCUGGCAGUCAGUUCUCUGCAUUUAAAAACCAACUUUGGCUGCUAGAAAUGCUGUAUUUUCUCUUUGUAGCUAACCUUUGAAGGUCCCGCUGGUUUUUCCAUUCCAGCUGUUUUUGGACUUUGCCUUGGAGCAACUUUAACGGAGUCGUCUUUCCUUUUCCCGAACAAGCGUGCAAUUGCAGCAAGGUUGGUAGAUGCAUCCCAAACAUGCGUCUACCAUUGCCUUCUCACUCCUUACCAAUUUCCAAGUGGUUCACUCUUUGGCGUUACACAACCUUCAGGAGGUUCGUUUCAGCUGCAUCGUGCACAAAUACCGCAGCGAUGAUCAUCAGACUCGGCAGACUGACUCCUGGAUACUUCCGUCUCCUGCAGAGGCAGGUAGCAGGUGAGGUUCAGGCCCCAGUUCCCGACCGCUCCGUCAACCAGAUCGCCAUGUUGCUGGCCAUCAUGGGCCUCAGCCUGUCCUACUACAGUGCCAAACAGAUGAUGGAGAAGGUUCGCCACGAACCCGCUCCAUGAAGAUGUGCAUAUGUGCUCCGGAUCGACGGCAUCUGGAGAAGACUAAGCCAAACUGAAGAUGUUCAGACUUUGUCAAAAUACCUUUCUAUAACCUCCAGGGAUCACACACACCGCAGGACAUCCGCUUAGGGGUUCUCUUGCUUUAGUUUAGCUCUCAAUGGGAUCUGGAAGGGGUUGUGGCCUGAGUUUUGAUAGUUGACUUGAUGCAUGCAUCAGAGAGCCAGUCAAUAGGUUGCUGCAGGUUCAAAACUCAAGCUCAACCAAUGCAUGAGCAAAUCUAGAGCUCAACUCUAAUGUCUUUUAAAGGGAAGGACCUCUGUAUUUGAGAUGUACCAAGCAACUAUUGAAAGCAGGUCCAGUGCACAAGGGUGAAACGCUCCGAUUUCCCCCCAAAAGAUGCUUUUGAAGAACGUCAAAGCCUUGAGGACUAAUAGUGGAGGUGCUGCUCUACAAUACUACACUUGGUGUCAGACACUUUAGGAAAUUUACUACACAAAGACCGUUUGAGGACCUUAUGUUAAAGUGACUUGAUCUUUUCAUUAUAACUUAAGUAAAUAUCCUCAUUUGUCCUGACAAAUUUCUCAACUCUUUAGAUGUUAAUGCCGACUUUGUGUGCAAUUGCAUGAGUUUGAAGCUGUUUGUUUUAGUGAAACCAAUCCAUAAUGUUGUUUCUAAUACUUUUUUAUGAUCAUGUGAUUAUAUGAUGAUGCUGAAUGUACUAUGUUAUAUUUUUAAGACAAUCAAAUAAAGCUGUGAAUAUUUUGAACACGAUCAAGUAAUGGAAAGCAAGUCAUGACUCCAGAAGAUUUAGAAGAACAUUGUGAAGUUCGUCUGACUCAUCGCUGUUGAUAAAAUGUGAUUCCCGCUGAGUCAAGUUUUACACAAACCAUAUGAGAGGUUUUCCUGUCGGCAGAAGUGUGCUGUUGAACAGGAAGUGGGCACAGCCUCAGGCAACGGCUUCCUCGAUCUGCACGUGAUAUUUGUCUACCAGCCUUCUGCAGCUGGCUUUAUGUCUGUAGGAAAUUUACUACACCAAGAGCGUUUGAGGACCUUAUGUUAAAGUGACUUGAUCUUUUCAUUAUAACUUAAGUAAAUAUCUUCUCAUUUGUCCUGACAAAUUUCUCAACUCUUUAGAUGUUAAUGCCGACUUUGUGUGCAAUUGCAUGAGUUUGAAGCUGUUUGUUUUAGUGAAACCAAUCCAUAAUGUUGUUUCUAAUACUUUUUUAUGAUCAUGUGAUUAUAUGAUGAUGCUGAAUGUACUAUGUUAUAUUUUUAAGACAAUCAAAUAAAGCUGUGAAUAUUUUGAACACGAUCAAGUAAUGGAAAGCAAGUCAUGACUCCAGAAGAUUUAGAAGAACAUUGUGAAGUUCGUCUGACUCAUCGCUGUUGAUAAAAUGUGAUUCCCGCUGAGUCAAGUUUUACACAAACCAUAUGAGAGGUUUUCCUGUCGGCAGAAGUGUGCUGUUGAACAGGAAGUGGGCACAGCCUCAGGCAACGGCUUCCUCGAUCUGCACGUGAUAUUUGUCUACCAGCCUUCUGCAGCUGGCUUUAUGUCUGACCCACUUACCAAAUUCAGUAGACAUCAAUUAAACAUUUGCACGCCAAGUAACUUGAGGUUAUAUUACAUUGCAUUCUCAAUGCUUCCAAAAGGGUUGUGUUUUUUUUUUUUUUUUUUUUUAAGAGAGUGUUGCUAAAUAAGUUAAAUUGACCAUGUUUUGUUCUGGUAAUUUUGACUUGGAGAGGGUUUUCUUUUCCCCUGAAAAUGCUAGAAAAUGUUAUCGCAUUACACUAAAAUAUACUGACUUACCCAAAAAUUUAUUAUUAUUUUUUUAUUAUUUUUUUUUCCCUUCCUUUUUACACUUGUGGUGUUCCCAG